This 1031-nucleotide ribosomal RNA is filed under the name Staphylococcus aureus. RNAcentral's name for it is "partial 23S ribosomal RNA". It matches the Rfam family "Bacterial large subunit ribosomal RNA", at positions 328 to 1367 of the family's 2925-position model. The record is from RNAcentral. Lineage: Bacteria; Bacillati; Bacillota; Bacilli; Caryophanales; Staphylococcaceae.
AUUAGACGAAUCAUCUGGAAAGAUGAAUCAAAGAAGGUAAUAAUCCUGUAGUCGAAAAUGUUGUCUCUCUUGAGUGGAUCCUGAGUACGACGGAGCACGUGAAAUUCCGUCGGAAUCUGGGAGGACCAUCUCCUAAGGCUAAAUACUCUCUAGUGACCGAUAGUGAACCAGUACCGUGAGGGAAAGGUGAAAAGCACCCCGGAAGGGGAGUGAAAUAGAACCUGAAACCGUGUGCUUACAAGUAGUCAGAGCCCGUUAAUGGGUGAUGGCGUGCCUUUUGUAGAAUGAACCGGCGAGUUACGAUUUGAUGCAAGGUUAAGCAGUAAAUGUGGAGCCGUAGCGAAAGCGAGUCUGAAUAGGGCGUUUAGUAUUUGGUCGUAGACCCGAAACCAGGUGAUCUACCCUUGGUCAGGUUGAAGUUCAGGUAACACUGAAUGGAGGACCGAACCGACUUACGUUGAAAAGUGAGCGGAUGAACUGAGGGUAGCGGAGAAAUUCCAAUCGAACCUGGAGAUAGCUGGUUCUCUCCGAAAUAGCUUUAGGGCUAGCCUCAAGUGAUGAUUAUUGGAGGUAGAGCACUGUUUGGACGAGGGGCCCCUCUCGGGUUACCGAAUUCAGACAAACUCCGAAUGCCAAUUAAUUUAACUUGGGAGUCAGAACAUGGGUGAUAAGGUCCGUGUUCGAAAGGGAAACAGCCCAGACCACCAGCUAAGGUCCCAAAAUAUAUGUUAAGUGGAAAAGGAUGUGGCGUUGCCCAGACAACUAGGAUGUUGGCUUAGAAGCAGCCAUCAUUUAAAGAGUGCGUAAUAGCUCACUAGUCGAGUGACACUGCGCCGAAAAUGUACCGGGGCUAAACAUAUUACCGAAGCUGUGGAUUGUCCUUUGGACAAUGGUAGGAGAGCGUUCUAAGGGCGUUGAAGCAUGAUCGUAAGGACAUGUGGAGCGCUUAGAAGUGAGAAUGCCGGUGUGAGUAGCGAAAGACGGGUGAGAAUCCCGUCCACCGAUUGACUAAGGUUUCCAGAGGAAGGCUC